Molecule: ribosomal RNA, 406 nt
Filed under: uncultured bacterium
Lineage: Bacteria
Description: partial 16S ribosomal RNA
Rfam family: Bacterial small subunit ribosomal RNA
Source: RNAcentral
AUUGAACGCUGGCGGCAGGCCUAACACAUGCAAGUCGAACGAGUGGCGGACGGGUGAGUAAUGUCUGGGAAACUGCCUGAUGGAGGGGGAUAACGAAUGGAAACGGUAGCUAAUACCGCAUACUAUCAGAUGAGCCCAGAUGGGAUUAGCUAGUUGGUGGGGUAACGGCUCACCAAGGCGACGAUCCCUAGCUGGUCUGAGAGGAUGACCACCCACACUGGAACUGGGACCCGGUCCAGACUCCUACGGGAGGCAGCGUUGGGGAAUAUUGCACAAUGGGGGCAAGCCUGAUGCAUCCAUGCCGCGUAUAUGAAGAAGGCCUUCGGGUUGUAAAGUACUUUCAGCGGGGAGACGUUACCCGCAGAAGAAGCACCGGCUAACUCCGUGCCAGCAGCCGCGGUAAUUC